GAUGAACGCUGGCGGCGUGCCUAAUACAUGCAAGUCGAGCGAACAGACGAGGAGCUUGCUCCUCUGACGUUAGCGGCGGACGGGUGAGUAACACGUGGAUAACCUACCUAUAAGACUGGGAUAACUUCGGGAAACCGGAGCUAAUACCGGAUAAUAUAUUGAACCGCAUGGUUCAAUAGUGAAAGACGGUUUUGAUGUCACUUAUAGAUGGAUCCGCGCCGCAUUAGCUAGUUGGUAAGGUAACGGCUUACCAAGGCAACGAUGCGUAGCCGACCUGAGAGGGUGAUCGGCCACACUGGAACUGAGACACGGUCCAGACUCCUACGGGAGGCAGCAGUAGGGAAUCUUCCGCUAUGGGCGAAAGCCUGACGGAGCAACGCCGCGUGAGUGAUGAAGGUCUUCGGAUCGUAAAACUCUGUUAUUAGGGAAGAACAAAUGUGUAAGUAACUAUGCACGUCUUGACGGUACCUAAUCAGAAAGCCACGGCUAACUACGUG
This 497-nucleotide ribosomal RNA is filed under the name uncultured bacterium. Its description in RNAcentral is "partial 16S ribosomal RNA". It matches the Rfam family "Bacterial small subunit ribosomal RNA", at positions 28 to 507 of the family's 1533-position model. The record is from RNAcentral.